RNAcentral lists this ribosomal RNA (445 nucleotides) under uncultured bacterium. Its description in RNAcentral is "partial 16S ribosomal RNA". It matches the Rfam family "Bacterial small subunit ribosomal RNA", at positions 354 to 796 of the family's 1533-position model. The record is from RNAcentral.
GUGAGGAAUAUUGGUCAAUGGGCGAGAGCCUGAACCAGCCAAGUCGCGUGAAGGAAGAAGGAUCUAUGGUUCGUAAACUUCUUUUGCAGGGGAAUAAAGUGCGGGACGUGUCCUGUUUUGUAUGUACCCUGAGAAUAAGGAUCGGCUAACUCCGUGCCAGCAGCCGCGGUAAUACGGAGGAUCCGAGCGUUAUCCGGAUUUAUUGGGUUUAAAGGGUGCGUAGGUGGUUUGAUAAGUCAGCGGUGAAAGUUUGCAGCUUAACUGUAAAAAUGCCGUUGAAACUGUCGGACUUGAGUGUAAAUGAGGUAGGCGGAAUGCGUGGUGUAGCGGUGAAAUGCAUAGAUAUCACGCAGAACUCCGAUUGCGAAGGCAGCUUACUAAGCUACAACUGACACUGAAGCACGAAAGCGUGGGGAUCAAACAGGAUUAGAAACCCGGGUAGUCC